This is a long non-coding RNA of Oreochromis aureus, 828 nucleotides long. The record is from Ensembl. NCBI's taxonomy places the organism in Eukaryota, Metazoa, Chordata, Actinopteri, Cichliformes, Cichlidae.
ACCAUUUUCUCUCAAAAGCUUUUCAAAGCCAUCCAGAAAAUAGCUAGUCUAACACCUGUAAUACACAUUAAAAAAAUAUAUAUAUAAGCUCCAGUUUAUCACUCAGUUAGAGUUAAAAAGUGCUUGACUACACUAGCAGCGAUCAUGUCCUCUUCAGGUACCUCUUUUUUCUUACCCCUGUUCAUAUAAUGCCUAUAUUUACUCUAUUUCCUGCUGUUUAAAUACUCCUAGUUAUUACUUUUUAUACUCUCAAAUAAUUCUGUUUGAUUAAGGCUUAUAUUUUACUGUAUUUCCUGUUUGUUUAAAUACUUGUUAUUUCUUUUUAGACUCUGAAAUAAGCCUGCUUGAUUCUUCUCUUUUGGAUCAUCUCGAUCAAAUCGUUCACCUAGUUCUUCGCCCAGUUCUUCACCACCGGUUUUAGAGAGAGCUACAGGCAAGAACAUUCGUCUCUCGACCCGUGAGAGACAGGCUUUGCUUUCUGCAAGGGCUUGCCCGGCGUCAGCUCCCCAGCGUGCCUCGGGCAAAAACCUGAAUCUGUCCACCCGGGAGAGGGAACAGCUGAUCGCGGCGCACGCUCACAGUCCCGGCUUCGGAGCUUCAGCUCCCCAGCGUGCCUCGGGCAAAAACCUGAAUCUGUCCGCCCGGGAGAGGGAACAGCUGAUCGCGGCGCACGCUCACAGUCCCGGCUUCGGAGCUUCUCCUCCUGCAUCGGGGCCAAGACAUUCACAGCCCCUGCCUCGGAGAUCCAAUCUAGGGCAUCUCAGAAGGAAGCGUAGGAGGACCAUUAGGUCCCUCAGGACAAGGCAAACACGCAGACAGCGAAACCAG